This 546-nucleotide ribosomal RNA is filed under the name Phormidium sp. AW2. RNAcentral's name for it is "bacterial SSU rRNA". It matches the Rfam family "Bacterial small subunit ribosomal RNA", at positions 159 to 737 of the family's 1533-position model. The record is from RNAcentral. Lineage: Bacteria; Bacillati; Cyanobacteriota; Cyanophyceae; Oscillatoriales; Oscillatoriaceae. RNAcentral also lists the same sequence under 1 other name.
AUGGCUAAUACCGGAUAAGCCGGAAGGUAAAAGAUUAAUUGCCUAGGGAAGAGCUCGCGUCUGAUUAGCUAGUUGGUGAGGUAAAAGCUCACCAAGGCAUCGAUCAGUAGCUGGUCUGAGAGGAUGACCAGCCACACUGGGACUGAGACACGGCCCAGACUCCUACGGGAGGCAGCAGUGGGGAAUUUUCCGCAAUGGGCGAAAGCCUGACGGAGCAAGACCGCGUGAGGGAGGAAGGCUCUUGGGUUGUAAACCUCUUUUCUUGGGGAAGAACAAAAUGACGGUACCCAAGGAAUCAGCAUCGGCUAACUCCGUGCCAGCAGCCGCGGUAAUACGGAGGAUGCAAGCGUUAUCCGGAAUUAUUGGGCGUAAAGCGUCCGCAGGUGGCACUUCAAGUCUGCUGUCAAAGACCGGGGCUUAACCCUGGAGAGGCAGUGGAAACUGAAGCGCUAGAGUGUCGUAGGGGUAGAGGGAAUUCCUGGUGUAGCGGUGAAAUGCGUAGAGAUCAGGAAGAACAUCGGUGGCGAAAGCGCUCUACUGGACGAC